CGGCUGAGCUGCUGGCGCCUUACACCGGCGAUAUCGUUGCGGAAGGGGUCAGUAAGGUCUUUCGCUCCGGAGCUCGUUUUCUGCUGCACGGCGCUCAGCGUCAGCAGCGGUAUGUCGCUGAAGCGCUGACCGAAGAGUGGCGUAUGGCGCCUGGGCCGCUGGAAAUGGCCUGGUUUGGCGAAGAGACCGCGGCUGUGGAACGCGCGCUUUCCUCACUGGAAAAACGGCUGGAAACGCUGGAGGGCAAAUGA
RNAcentral lists this small RNA (251 nucleotides) under Klebsiella ornithinolytica. RNAcentral describes it as "Erse small RNA". It matches the Rfam family "Erse small RNA". Lineage: Bacteria; Pseudomonadati; Pseudomonadota; Gammaproteobacteria; Enterobacterales; Enterobacteriaceae. The record is from RNAcentral.